GAUCCUGGCUCAGGAUGAACGCUAGCGACAGGCUUAACACAUGCAAGUCGAGGGGCAGCACGGUGUAGCAAUACACUGGUGGCGACCGGCGCACGGGUGAGUAACACGUGUGCAACCAACCCCGUACCGGGAGAUAACCCGCGGAAACGUGGACUAACAUCCCAUAAUACUGGAGGAUCGCAUGAUCUUUCAUUUAAAAUUCCGGUGGUACGGGAUGGGCACGCGCGACAUUAGGUAGUUGGCGGGGUAAGGG
RNAcentral lists this ribosomal RNA (253 nucleotides) under uncultured bacterium. RNAcentral describes it as "partial 16S ribosomal RNA". It matches the Rfam family "Bacterial small subunit ribosomal RNA", at positions 15 to 263 of the family's 1533-position model. The record is from RNAcentral.